CUUGGUCAUUUAGAGGNAGUAAAAGUCGUAACAAGGUUUCCGUAGGUGAACCUGCGGAAGAAUCAUUAUCGAAUCGUAGGCGAGGGUUGUCGCUGGCCUCUCGGGGCAUGUGCACGCCCGAGCCCUUGAAUCCCAAACACCACAUGUGAACCCACCGUAGGCCUUCGGGCCUAUGUCUUAUCAUAUAAUCUGAAUGUCUAAUAGAAUGUAAACCCAUUUCGUUGCCUUGAAAACGUAACGAAAGAAAACUAUACAACUUUCAACAACGGAUCUCUUGGCUCUCGCAUCGAUGAAGAACGCAGCGAAAUGCGAUAAGUAAUGUGAAUUGCAGAUUUUCAGUGAAUCAUCGAAUCUUUGAACGCACCUUGCGCCCCUUGGUAUUCCGAGGGGCAUGCCUGUUUGAGUGUCAUUAAAUCCUCAACCCCUCCGAUUCGUUUCGGUGGGGAUUGGACUUGGAGCGUGCUGGCGAAGGUCGGCUCCUCUUUAAAUGCAUCAGCGGAGAAAAUGCCUUUUGCGCCUCUGGCCGUUCAGCGUGAUAAUGAUGUUGCGCUGCGGUCGAGCUUAAGGUCCGCUUCCAAAGGUCCUCUCGGACGAUAUAUACAUAUGACUUUUGACCUCAAAUCAGGUAGGACUACCCGCUGAACUUAAGCAUAUCAAUAAGCGGANGA
This 668-nucleotide ribosomal RNA is filed under the name uncultured fungus. RNAcentral describes it as "eukaryotic LSU rRNA". The stretch from base 255 to 409 matches the Rfam family "5.8S ribosomal RNA". Lineage: Eukaryota; Fungi. The record is from RNAcentral.